AAAAGUUGUUUGUAAAUAAAAGAUUUUUUGAAAUAUAAUAAAAUUGUUAAAAUUCUUCGAACACUCUUCGGUCUAGACAAGAAAAUGCUAAAAUAACGUUUGUCGGCUGAUCAGUGGAAGGCUUGUUUGCAGCAGAAGGACACAAAGGCUCAACAAUUAUUUAUGGAUAUAAUUAUUUUAAAUAAUUGCCUUUUCAAGUUUUUAGUGAAAUCUUAAACUACAUAGAACUAAAACAGAAUGGAAUAUAUAUCGUCAGUAUAUUA
Molecule: long non-coding RNA, 263 nt
Organism: Lucilia sericata (common green bottle fly)
Lineage: Eukaryota; Metazoa; Arthropoda; Insecta; Diptera; Calliphoridae
Exons: 2
Source: RefSeq, a predicted model, not a curated record